Long non-coding RNA from Scophthalmus maximus (turbot), 1587 nucleotides. RefSeq lists it as uncharacterized. The record is from RefSeq and is a predicted model, not a curated record. Lineage: Eukaryota; Metazoa; Chordata; Actinopteri; Pleuronectiformes; Scophthalmidae. The transcript is spliced from 3 exons.
GUGUUGAGUCGUGUGUUGUAUUGCGAGAGUCGGGAGCUGCAGUACAGGAUUUUCGGUUACCGAUGUAAUGGUAACUUAUGCUGAACUUCACCCUUCCUGGAGCAGUUGAAGUUUUGAGAUCAGAGAUCAAAGCCAGUCCCCGGUCAGCGUCAUCAUUCUACAGGAGUCCGGCUGGGACAAAAUAGUCUAGAGCAACGUGACGAACAAUAAAGCGAAGCAGAUGUUGAGUUCAACCGGAGGUGAAAUUCUGAUACACUCACGCCAUUUACCUUUGAUAAAAUCCUUAUAUUAACAGUUUUUUAAAGCCUGGGUCCAAGCCAAAAAACAAUGACAUGAGUCUUUACAUCAAAAAAAAAAUUUGGAGCAAAAAAGAAAUUCAACAUCAGAAAAAAGGCAAAGGUACAAAGGUGUGGUGGAAAUUGUCCUUCCUAUCGUCUUUUCCUAUCUACUUUUCCUUGACCUCAGUGGAAAACAUCAUGAGGUCAAGGAAACAUGUAAAGGGAGAACUGAUAAGAAUUAGGAAAAGCCGACAGCACUGCUCAGAGAAUCCGACUCGACUUUGACUAUACUACGUCAUCACGCGACGGCAGAUGCUGUUGACGUGCGUGUGUCGUGGUGAAACUACAAAUUUCCGAAGAUGGACUACAAACAUCGCAGCUGUCACUUCAAGAUUUAGGAAACUUCCUAAACACAUUUAACAAUUGGAUCGUACCCCAAGACUGUGUACAUAAUUAUUUUAAGAGUGAAGGAACUACGCAACCCGUAAAUCCUUGCCGAUGCCUUUCCGACGACUUCAAACCAUUCAGAGAGGUUGAUGUUACAAUUUAGGAUUGUGGGUAGUGUAGUACAUUCUCAAUGAUAUGGCAAAUACAUUUUUUCCCCCUUUAAAGAAGGUUGAUAUCCUACGGACUUGUGGCUUCUAACGGUGCACAUACCAUCCUCUCACAACCUCAAAGCUCCUGGAGUAAGGUGCAGUCUGAACAGGUGAGUUUUCUGUAUGGGACGGAUGCAUUGAAGGGUUUCUAUUGCCCUGAUGUCAAUGGGGAGCACCAUCCACCAUUGUGGACAGGAUUCAGUUGAGUAAUACCACAACAACAACAUUUACACACAUACUAAUGAGUUAAACCAGUUUUUCAACAGGUCUGACUCACCAACACAGGCCUAGGGGCCUCUACUCCCUGUGUCCCCACCAACCACUCUCUCCCUCUCAUCCACAUUCCCCCAGUCUCUUCUGCCCCCCUACUCAUCUCUCUCUCUCUCUGCCCACCACCUGCGACCAAAAGGUCAUCGCAAUGACCCAUAUCCCCAACCACCCCCAGGCACCACAACCAACCAGGUGAGACGGAAACUCUUCAUGACCAAGAUCAGCAAGGCCAGAGGACCUGGCAACAUUAAGAGAGAGAGAGGACCACGUCACCAGAGCAGAACGCGUGUGGCCAUGAGUAGCUGACAUUUUAAAAGGACGCCGCAAGCAUUACACAGGACAAAUGCAUCAGGACAGCAAAGGGAGAGUGGAAUUUGCGUGCGAGCAAGACUGACAGAGCAAAUGCUGCAAAAAUGUAAUAAACCUACUUUGUGUUUGACAAA